This is a non-coding RNA of Pimephales promelas (fathead minnow), 211 nucleotides long. The record is from RefSeq and is a predicted model, not a curated record. NCBI's taxonomy places the organism in Eukaryota, Metazoa, Chordata, Actinopteri, Cypriniformes, Leuciscidae.
GAUGAACGAAGGUCUUGCGGGGUUGGAACAACAUGAGGGUAUAUCCAUGAGAUAUGGUUGCUGAAAAGGGGAUAAUAUCCAUCCACUGGCUUCCUCACUUUUGUAUUUGCCAUGCAUACCUGUGACCGGGUUAGGUCGGUGUUGGCCGGAACGCGCUAGCAUUGUGCUAUUGUGUGACGUCAUCACAUUUUUGAACGGAUUUUUCGAACAG